Buttiauxella agrestis ATCC 33320 is the source of this 96-nucleotide regulatory RNA element. It matches the Rfam family "Tryptophan operon leader". From Rfam's summary of the family: At least 6 amino acid operons are known to be regulated by attenuation. In each a leader sequence of 150-200 bp is found upstream of the first gene in the operon. Lineage: Bacteria; Pseudomonadati; Pseudomonadota; Gammaproteobacteria; Enterobacterales; Enterobacteriaceae. The record is from Rfam.
CAUAGCGGGUGGCGUACUUCCUGAUAACGGGCAGUGUAAUCGCUAUGGCUGAAAUUCAGCCCAGAUACCAGGCCCGCCCAGAGCGGGCUUUUUUUU